GCGCGAAACCUUUACAAUGCACGCAAGUGUGAUAAGGGAACCCUAAGUGCUUUGCUUUUGCAAGGCUUUUUCCAAGAGUAAAUAUCUUGGAGAAUAAGUGGUGGGCAAUACCUGUGCCAGCCGCCGCGGUAAUCCAGGAGCCACAAGUGGCAACCAUUUUUAUUGGGCCUAAAGCGUCCGUAGCAUGUUUGGUAAAUCUUCUGUGAAAUCAUUAGGCUUAACUUAAUGGUGUGCAGAAGAGACUGUCAGACUAGGGACCGGGAGGAGUCAGAGGUAUUUCGGGGGGAGCGGUAAAAUGCUAUAAUCCUCGAAGGACCACCUGUGGCGAAGGCGUCUGACUAGAACGGAUUCGACGGUGAGGGACGAAAGCUAGGGGAGCAAUCCGGAUUAGAUAUCAAAAAUUCUGUCUUAACAGAAUUUUGAGACCAAAAAUCUUCGAUUUUUGUGUAUCAAAAAUUCUAAAAAUUUUUGGAACCCCUCCGGGGUACGAGAAAUCAUCAAGAUUGCAAAUAUAUUUACUUUGAUGAUACCUUUGAUAUGAGAGUUUUUGACUAACUACCCGAGUAGUCCUAGCUGUAAACUCUGCGAGCUAGGUGUUGCAUAAUCUUCGUGAUUAUGCAGUGUCGAAGCGAAGGUGUUAAGCUCGCCGCCUGGGAAGUAUGGUCGCAAGGCUGAAACUUAAAGGAAUUGG
Molecule: ribosomal RNA, 691 nt
Filed under: uncultured euryarchaeote
Lineage: Archaea; Methanobacteriati; Methanobacteriota
Description: partial 16S rRNA
Rfam family: Archaeal small subunit ribosomal RNA
Source: RNAcentral